GGAGAGAUGGCCGAGCGGUCGAAGGCGCACGCUUGGAAAGCGUGUGUAGGGAAACCUACCGUGGGUUCGAAUCCCACUCUCUCCGCCA
Molecule: transfer RNA, 88 nt
Filed under: Gammaproteobacteria bacterium
Lineage: Bacteria; Pseudomonadati; Pseudomonadota; Gammaproteobacteria
Also listed under: 2 other names
Description: tRNA-Ser
Rfam family: tRNA
About the family: Transfer RNA (tRNA) molecules are approximately 80 nucleotides in length. Their secondary structure includes four short double-helical elements and three loops (D, anti-codon, and T loops).
Source: RNAcentral